CGGUUCCGGUUGUUAUCGUGUACACCUGAUAGCGGUCGUUACUCAUAGUAGGGAAUAUAUCCGCCAACCCGCAUUGGAGCAGCGUGGUAGAUUAAGCUCUGAUUCUUUUCUACAUGGGGAAAGAGGCCUAUGCUUAACAGUGGGAUAUCACUGGCUAAGCGUAACAAUCCAUACCCUUUUUCUAUCCAUUUAGAAACGAGGACUCUAAACAAUUUUUGACCAGCGUCAAAAAUUGUUUUUU
This 241-nucleotide unclassified non-coding RNA is filed under the name Melitaea cinxia (Glanville fritillary). Its description in RNAcentral is "misc RNA ENSMCXG00005011939.1". Lineage: Eukaryota; Metazoa; Arthropoda; Insecta; Lepidoptera; Nymphalidae. The record is from RNAcentral.